RNAcentral lists this ribosomal RNA (497 nucleotides) under uncultured bacterium. RNAcentral describes it as "partial 16S ribosomal RNA". It matches the Rfam family "Bacterial small subunit ribosomal RNA", at positions 28 to 507 of the family's 1533-position model. The record is from RNAcentral.
GAUGAACGCUGGCGGCGUGCCUAAUACAUGCAAGUCGAGCGAACGGACGCGAAGCUUGCUUCUCUGAUGUUAGCGGCGGACGGGUGAGUCACGCGUGUAUACCCUCCCUAUCAGUCUGAGAUAACUUCGGGACACCGGAGCUAAUACCGGAUGAUAUUUUGCACCGUAUGGUUCAAAAGUGAAAGACGGUCUUGCUGUAACUUAUCGCUGGUUCCGCGCUGCAUUAGCUAGUUGGUAAGGUAACGGCUUUCCAGGGCAACGAUGCAUAGCCGACCUGAGGGGGUGAUCGGCGACACGGGAACGUGGACACGGUCCAUGCUCCUGCGAGAGGCAGCAGUAGGGUAUCUUACGCAAUGGGCGAAAGCCUGACGGAGCAGCGCGGCGUGAGUGAUGAAGGUGUUCGGAGCGUAAAACUCUGUUAUUAGGGAAGAACAGAUGUGUAAGUAACUGUGCACAUCUUGACGGUAACUAAUCAGAAAGCCACGGCUAACUACGUG